AGGAUGAACGCUGGCGGUCUGCUUAACACAUGCAAGUCGAACGGAGUACCUCGGUACUUAGUGGCGGACGGGUGAGUAACGCGUGAGAAUCUGCCCUUAGGUCGGGGACAACCAUUGGAAACGAUGGCUAAUACCGGAUAAGCCGAGAGGUAAAAGAUUAAUUGCCUAGGGAAGAGCUCGCGUCUGAUUAGCUAGUUGGUGAGGUAAAGGCUCACCAAGGCAUCGAUCAGUAGCUGGUCUGAGAGGAUGAUCAGCCACACUGGGACUGAGACACGGCCCAGACUCCUACGGGAGGCAGCAGUGAGGAAUUUUUCCGCAAUGGGCGAAAGCCUGACGGAGCGACGCCGCGUGUGGGAAGAAGGCCUUCGGGUCGUAAACCACUGUCGAAGGGGACUAUACUGAAGGUACCCUUGGAGGAAGCCCCGGCUAACUACGUGCCAGCAGCCGC
Molecule: ribosomal RNA, 448 nt
Filed under: uncultured bacterium
Lineage: Bacteria
Description: SSU rRNA
Rfam family: Bacterial small subunit ribosomal RNA
Source: RNAcentral